AGAUGCUAGAACUGCUUGGCGGAGUCUUAAGAAAGGGAUCUGAAAGCUUGCGGGGAGGGAAGCCAUUAGUCUGGGUUUACAAUGUGAGAAGAGAGUACCCACUCACUGACGAGGCUUCUCAGAGGGGCCAGGAGGAAACGUCCUUCAUUGAGGCAUCAAUAAAUUAAGACACUGGUGAAAGAUGACAUGGAAUGUGAAAAUUUUCAGCUGUUUGGAAAGGAAUCCCAAGAAACAAUUGGCUUUCCCCCUAACCUGUGAGCUCCCUUGAGGGUAGAUACAGCAUAAUGCCGGCCACACAGAAGCAUGAACUCUCCUCCAGAUGGUCACCCAUGAUCCCAGGCUGAUGGCAGCUCCACCAACCAAACUUGUCACAUCUGGAGUAUGUGGUCUCCU
Hipposideros armiger (great roundleaf bat) is the source of this 393-nucleotide long non-coding RNA. RefSeq lists it as uncharacterized. The transcript has 4 exons. The record is from RefSeq and is a predicted model, not a curated record. Lineage: Eukaryota; Metazoa; Chordata; Mammalia; Chiroptera; Hipposideridae.